GACGAACGCUGGCGGCGUGCUUAACACAUGCAAGUCGAACGGAAAGGCCCUGCUUUUGUGGGGUGCUCGAGUGGCGAACGGGUGAGUAACACGUGAGUAACCUGCCCUUGACUUUGGGAUAACUUCAGGAAACUGGGGCUAAUACCGGAUAGGAGCUCCUGCUGCAUGGUGGGGGUUGGAAAGUUUCGGCGGUUGGGGAUGGACUCGCGGCUUAUCAGCUUGUUGGUGGGGUAGUGGCUUACCAAGGCUUUGACGGGUAGCCGGCCUGAGAGGGUGACCGGCCACAUUGGGACUGAGAUACGGCCCAGACUCCUACGGGAGGCAACAGUGGGGAAUAUUGCACAAUGGGCGGAAGCCCGAUGCAGCAACGCCGCGUGCGGGAUGACGGCCUUCGGGUUGUAAACCGCUUUCGCCUGUGACGAAGCGUGAGUGACGGUAAUGGGUAAAGAAGCACCGGCUAACUACGU
RNAcentral lists this ribosomal RNA (467 nucleotides) under uncultured bacterium. Its description in RNAcentral is "partial 16S ribosomal RNA". It matches the Rfam family "Bacterial small subunit ribosomal RNA", at positions 28 to 506 of the family's 1533-position model. The record is from RNAcentral.